CGGGAUCCGAUUAACGCGAAGAACCUUACCCACCCUUGACAUGCCACUAACGAAGCAGAGAUGCAUUAGGUGCUCGAAAGAGAAAGUGGACACAGGUGCUGCAUGGCUGUCGUCAGCUCGUGUCGUGAGAUGUUGGGUUAAGUCCCGCAACGAGCGCAACCCUUGUCUCUAGUUGCUACGAAAGGGCACUCUAGAGAGACUGCCGGUGACAAACCGGAGGAAGGUGGGGAUGACGUCAAGUCCUCAUGGCCCUUAUGGGUAGGGCUUCACACGUCAUACAAUGGUGCAUACAGAGGGUUGCCAGGCCGCGAGGUGGAGCCAAUCCCAGAAAAUGCAUCGUAGUCCGGAUCGUAGUCUGCAACUCGACUAC
Molecule: ribosomal RNA, 370 nt
Filed under: uncultured Ralstonia sp.
Lineage: Bacteria; Pseudomonadati; Pseudomonadota; Betaproteobacteria; Burkholderiales; Burkholderiaceae
Description: bacterial SSU rRNA
Rfam family: Bacterial small subunit ribosomal RNA
Source: RNAcentral